Molecule: ribosomal RNA, 251 nt
Filed under: uncultured prokaryote
Description: partial 16S ribosomal RNA
Rfam family: Bacterial small subunit ribosomal RNA
Source: RNAcentral
UACGGAGGAUGCAAGCGUUAUCCGGAUUCAUUGGGUUUAAAGGGUGCGUAGGCGGACUAUUAAGUCAGUGGUGAAAGCCUGCAGCUUAACUGCAGAACUGCCAUUGAUACUGAUAGUCUUGAGUUUGGUUAAGGUAGGCGGAAUGUGUAAUGUAGCGGUGAAAUGCUUAGAUAUUACACAGAACACCGAUUGCGUAGGCAGCUUACUGAGCCGACACUGACGCUGAGGCACGAAAGCGUGGGGAUCGAACA